RNAcentral lists this transfer RNA (64 nucleotides) under Acanthosepion lycidas. RNAcentral's name for it is "Sepia lycidas tRNA-Glu". Lineage: Eukaryota; Metazoa; Mollusca; Cephalopoda; Sepiida; Sepiidae. The record is from RNAcentral.
UAUAUAUAUAUAUAUAUAUAUAUAUAUUUUAUAUAUAUAUUAUAUACUAAAAGAGAGAAAAUCU